RNAcentral lists this ribosomal RNA (508 nucleotides) under uncultured bacterium. RNAcentral describes it as "partial 16S ribosomal RNA". It matches the Rfam family "Bacterial small subunit ribosomal RNA", at positions 28 to 507 of the family's 1533-position model. The record is from RNAcentral.
GACGAACGCUGGCGGCGUGCCUAAUACAUGCAAGUCGAACGCUUCUUUCCUCCCGAGUGCUUGCACUCAAUUGGAAAGAGGAGUGGCGGACGGGUGAGUAACACGUGGGUAACCUACCCAUCAGAGGGGGAUAACACUUGGAAACAGGUGCUAAUACCGCAUAACAGUUUAUGCCGCAUGGCAUAAGAGUGAAAGGCGCUUUCGGGUGUCGCUGAUGGAUGGACCCGCGGUGCAUUAGCUAGUUGGUGAGGUAACGGCUCACCAAGGCCACGAUGCAUAGCCGACCUGAGAGGGUGAUCGGCCACACUGGGACUGAGACACGGCCCAGACUCCUACGGGAGGCAGCAGUAGGGAAUCUUCGGCAAUGGAUGAAAGUCUGACCGAGCAACGCCGCGUGAGUGAAGAAGGUUUUCGGAUCGUAAAACUCUGUUGUUAGAGAAGAACAAGGACGUUAGUAACUGAACGUCCCCUGACGGUAUCUAACCAGAAAGCCACGGCUAACUACGUG